UGGGGACGCGGCGGGAUGGGGCGCGGCGGGGCAGCACGCACCAGGUUCUCUACGGCCGCACGCUCCAGGAACUUCUGCGCCGCUUCCAGCUCCAGCCGAUCUGGGGGGAGGAAUGGGGAGAGGGAGCGGGGUCAGAGGGGCCACCCCCUCCCCCACCCCAAUCACCUCAGCCCGACCCCCGGCCCCGAGUCCUACCCGGAGACACGGUCUUCUCGAGAAUGGUGAUCAGCUCCAUGGCGGAGGUGACGGCGGCGGGGACUCUUCCGAAGACGACGGCCCGGCCUCUCGGGCGGCGGCUCCAACUGGGGAUGGGGGUUGGGGGUCGGGUGGGAAGGGAGGGUGGGGUAGGGGGCGGGGGUCACCACAAGCCCAUUCACCGGCUGCCUCUGGGCAGGCGCUCUGUCGCCCCUUCCUCCCCUCUCUCCUUCCUUCCGCCCUCCUAAUGCGCUAGGCGGCGGCAGCUGCUCUUCUGGCGGCGGGGGAGGGACCCCGGGGGCAGCUCAGAGCGCGGCUGGUGCUCAGGCGGCGGAGGGAGAAAGAAGGAAGGGCGGCAGUAAGUGAGAGGCGGAUCGCUAGAAGGGAGAGGGAUUGAGGGAGGGAGGCGGAGGGAUAUUCUUGCCGGACCUCUCCGCGGCGGCACCGCGCUGCGCGAUGAUUGGCUGCUGCCGCGGCUACGCAGACUCGCCAAUUGGCCAGAAGGUUAACGUUGAAGGGCCGCCGCGCGCCUAUUCGCCCGCGGGCUUCAAGGCCCGGUUGGCUGGGCGGGCAGCGGAAUGGGGAGCGCUCAUUGGCCGAGGGGAGGAACAUUGGGGUGGGGCAGGUAAGAGCCGGCCUCCGAUUGGGCCGGCCUGGUAAAGGCCUUCGGGCUCACACCGGCUGUGCGCGGGGAGGAGGGCGGGCGGAAGGAAGCUGCUGUUACAGCGAGGCCUGCCGUCCGCCAGGCUCUCGGCUGGAGCCGGACCGUGAGGACCACGUGGUUCACCUUCCGACGUGCGGAUUUGGAAACUGAAGCCCAGAGAGAGCGCGGAGCGUGUCCAAGGUCACACAGCCGGUGGAGGACUCGAUCAGAGCUGGGUUCGGGCGUGCUUCAUUGCCCUUGGAGUCCCUGUCCGGACCUCUGCGGUUACAAAAGUUUCACGGAGGCGCGUCCUUAGACCAGUCAAUUUAACAGCUACCUUAAACCAUUGGUGCUCAAACUUAAGCCUAAAAGAUGUGUAUAGAAGGAUAUCAAGACCAUGUGUAGGCAUGGCGACACACCUACAAUCUCAGUAUCUCCAAGGCCGAGGCAGCCUGAGCUACAGUCUGAGAUUUAAAAAAAAAAA
Long non-coding RNA from Onychomys torridus (southern grasshopper mouse), 1322 nucleotides. RefSeq lists it as uncharacterized. The transcript is spliced from 2 exons. NCBI's taxonomy places the organism in Eukaryota, Metazoa, Chordata, Mammalia, Rodentia, Cricetidae. The record is from RefSeq and is a predicted model, not a curated record.